AAGGGGGAGGCCCCAACCAACAAGAACUGCUAACUCUUGCAUCCGAAUCUAAAACCUCGGCCCCCUUG
Molecule: transfer RNA, 68 nt
Filed under: Calyptomena viridis (green broadbill)
Lineage: Eukaryota; Metazoa; Chordata; Aves; Passeriformes; Eurylaimidae
Description: tRNA-Ser
Source: RNAcentral